AAGACUUUAAGUUAAACAAACUAAUAUCCUUCAAAGUUAUAAAUAAAGUAAUUAUCUUUAAGUCUUA
RNAcentral lists this transfer RNA (67 nucleotides) under Humbertiella nada. RNAcentral's name for it is "tRNA-Trp". Lineage: Eukaryota; Metazoa; Arthropoda; Insecta; Mantodea; Gonypetidae. The record is from RNAcentral.